This 653-nucleotide long non-coding RNA is filed under the name Cricetulus griseus (Chinese hamster). RNAcentral describes it as "lncRNA (ENSCGRG00015043167.1)". Lineage: Eukaryota; Metazoa; Chordata; Mammalia; Rodentia; Cricetidae. The record is from RNAcentral.
GAACAUUCUCCCUAUCUAUUCCUGGAUUAGAAACUCUCCUAGUUUCCCUCUUCCACUCCAUGACAGUCAAAAUGAUCAGUGUGGGUGGUGAAGAGGCAUCUUUUAAGAACAGAAUAUACAGCUUCCCGAAGAACUGGAUAGGUAGAGAAGACAUGGAGAUUGAUCAUGUGAGGCAAGGUCUCCUUGAAUGGCCUGGAGUUCAUUAUGUACACCAAACUGUCUUCAAGAUCACGAAGAUCUACUCGCUUCUGCUUCCCAUGUGCUGGGAUUUAAGAGCCCUCAUCCAGUGGUUGAUGGAAGCAGAGGCAGACACCCACAGAUAUACACUGAACUGAACUCUGGAACCUAGUUGCAGAGAGGGAAGAAUGAAGAUCAAAGGGCUCAGUACCAGGCUGGUGAAACCACAGAAACAGCUGGCCUGAACAAGGGGGAGCACAUGGACCCCAGACUUCUGUCUGGGAGGCAAGCACAGGACUGAUGCAGACUCCUGAACAUGGAUGUCAAUGAGGAGGCCUCUGUACUUUAGGGGGCCCCUGGAAGUGGAUUACUAUUUUUCCCUGGUGUAAGAAGGGACUUUGAGAGCCCAUCCCAAGCCUCUGCCUGAACACAUGGGGGAGGGCCUAGGUCCGGCCCAGGAUGGGUGGUAGACUUUG